UGGGGAAUUUUGGACAAUGGGCGAAAGCCUGAUCCAGCAAUGCCGCGUGUGAAGAAGGCCUUCGGGUUGUAAAGCACUUUUGUCCGGAAAGAAAUGGCUCUGGUUAAUACCUGGGGUCGAUGACGGUACCGGAAGAAUAAGGACCGGCUAACUACGUGCCAGCAGCCGCGGUAAUACGUAGGGUCCAAGCGUUAAUCGGAAUUACUGGGCGUAAAGCGUGCGCAGGCGGUUGUGCAAGACCGAUGUGAAAUCCCCGAGCUUAACUUGGGAAUUGCAUUGGUGACUGCACGGCUAGAGUGUGUCAGAGGGGGGUAGAAUUCCACGUGUAGCAGUGAAAUGCGUAGAGAUGUGGAGGAAUACCGAUGGCGAAGGCAGCCCCCUGGGAUAACACUGACGCUCAUGCACGAAAGCGUGGGGAGCAAAACAGGAUUAGAUACCCUGGUAGUCCACGCCCUAAACGAUGUCAACUAGUUGUUGGGGAUUCAUUUCCUUAGUAACGUAGCUAACGCGUGAAGUU
Molecule: ribosomal RNA, 517 nt
Filed under: uncultured bacterium
Lineage: Bacteria
Description: partial 16S ribosomal RNA
Rfam family: Bacterial small subunit ribosomal RNA
Source: RNAcentral